GGGGGGUGCGGGCUCCCAAGAGGAGGGGCCGGGCUCGGAGCGGCGGCGGCGCGGGGUUGUUCCGGAAAGGGCUGGCACCGGGCCGGCCGAGGGGCCCCGGGAGGCCGUCUUAAGAAGUUGGUUUUAUCUAGGAGGCAGCGGAGGGUGGUCAACGGAUCCGGGCAGGGCAGGGUCAGAUGUGGGUCGCAGAGGCGGCCUGGCCGAGGCGGGGUGCAGAAGAACGGUCUGGAAGCUUUACAGCAGGUCAGCCCAACUCAGCAUUUCCAGCCACCUCCUGGGCGCGGGAGCCCAUCUUUCCCGCUCUUUGCAGCACCUGCCGUAUCUCUUUCUUUGUUGGCUCCUCCGCCACUGGCACAUGAAACGUGUUUACAUCUCUUGAAAAGAGGCCUUCGGUUCCUGCUGUCGCUCCUCCCUCUUGUCACCCUCCUGGCUCAGCUGGCGGUCCCCCCCUCCUUUCUGAAGCGCUCAUCGGGCACCGAGCUCCCGGGGCUGGCCGCACACUGGUCGCACUCUGCUGGGCAGCCAUUGGUGUCCUUGGGGUCUCAGGCGCUCGGCGCGGCAGCAGCUGCUAUUUCCCUGUCACCUCCCUGAGCUUUCCUGGAGUCCAUCUCUUGCCCACAGGCCCACUGCCCCCAGUGCUACCUCUUAGUGCCCGGGUCGUCUUCCUUAGGCACAACUCAAGCCACCUCACUUGCCUGCUUCGGGCCUUCCCGGGGGUUCCCCGAAGCCCUCCGCUGGGGUCCCAGCUCUUCCGCCCCGGCCCCCACUGCUGUCGUCACCCAGCCCCUUCCUGUCCACCUCUGUCUAGCGCUCGGCACACAGCAGCAGCCUGCAGCCAUCCAGAGCUCCUUAGGGUUCCGAGAAUGCGACCUGCCCUGCAGCGACCUGCCCUGCAGCUGCGUGGCCCGCACCAGACCAGCUGGAGCUCAGACAGCCCCCCGGGCGGAAGCUCGGCCGAGAGCUCCCUGGGCCCCUCAGGCGAGCCUCCCACAGCCCCUGCUUGGCCUGGCACCUCUGACGCGUCCUUCUUCAGCCUCUCCACUUGGCUGCCUCCCCCACCAGAUGGCAAAGACCCCCCCCCAAAGCAGCCAGGGUGACUUCGCCUUUUGUUUCUCCAGCUGCUUGCCCGCUUCAAAGGCAACAGGUCUUUGCUGACCCCCAAGGGCUGCUCACCCCUCCGCCCCACGCCAGGCGGCGUUCCCAGAAAACAGGUCUGCCCAAGACGGGCCUCUCCCCGAACGAUGCGGCCACCUCCAGCCACUCCCAAAGAGGAGGCCGGCCGCGCCCGGAGCCCCAGUGACUGACUCCCCACCAGGACAGCCCUAAGACUCCCCUUAACCACAGGGAACGAUCGUGCGCGCCCACGCCGAGCUCCAAGCGAACCAGGACUGGGGCCGACUUGCUCCCGCUACACUGCAGCUGGCUCCCGGGACAGCGGGCAGCGCUGGCCCCGAGGGAUGCUCAGCACACACCCACGGUGAACGUCGCCCCUUAACGUUCACGGACACGGCUUUGCAGCGCACCGCCUAGGAGG
This 1534-nucleotide long non-coding RNA is filed under the name Sus scrofa (pig). RNAcentral's name for it is "lncRNA (ENSSSCG00015012631.1)". The record is from RNAcentral. Lineage: Eukaryota; Metazoa; Chordata; Mammalia; Artiodactyla; Suidae.